This 459-nucleotide ribosomal RNA is filed under the name Triticum aestivum (bread wheat). RNAcentral describes it as "partial small subunit ribosomal RNA". Lineage: Eukaryota; Viridiplantae; Streptophyta; Magnoliopsida; Poales; Poaceae. The record is from RNAcentral.
AUGAAGCCUAAUAAUAAACCAUCUAGUGUUGCUUCUGAAAUUAAAUUGAAAAGUGCAUGUUUAUUUGCCACCAAAUCUGAUAUUGAUGAGCUAGAUUUCAGCAAAUCUGUUUGCUAUGCUUUUGUGUGCAAAGAGGCAUUAUUUUCAUUCGAGGACGUGCCUUCCUCUUUGCCUCCUGCUGUCACUAACAUUUUGCAGGAGUUCGCUGACGUUUUUCCACAAGACGUGCCACCGGGAUUACCGCCUAUUCGAGGGAUUGAGCAUCAGAUUGACUUAAUUCCCGGUGCUUCACUGCCAAACCGUGCACCAUACCGUACCAAUCCAGAGGAGACGAAGGAGAUUAUGCGUCAAGUACAAGAGCUUCUCGACAAAGGUUAUAUACGCGAAUCCCUUAGUCCUUGUGCUGUUCCUAUUAUUCUAGUGCCGAAAAAGGAUGGUACAUCACGUAUGUGUGUUUGA